CAAUAGCGUAUAUUAAAGUUGUUGCAGUUAAAAAGUUCGUAGUUGCAAUUAUGGGUGUUAUUGAUCUGCGGCGAUGGUCGUGGGUGAGUAGCGCUCAUCAUCCUGAAUCUUUUCAGGACUGUUACUUUGAGAAAAGUAGAGUGCUCCAAGCAAGCUUUGCUAUGAAUAUUAUAGCAUAGUAUAACGUCAUAAGACUUUGGACUAGUUUCUGAAGUUCUAUGUAGUUCAAAGUAAAGGUUAAUAGGAGCGGUCGAGGGCAUUGGUAUUCAACAGCUAGAGGUGAAAUUCUUAGAUUUGUUGAAGACCCACGAAGGCGAAGGCAUUUGUCAAGGACGUUUCCAUUAA
This 345-nucleotide ribosomal RNA is filed under the name uncultured eukaryote. Its description in RNAcentral is "partial 18S ribosomal RNA". It matches the Rfam family "Eukaryotic small subunit ribosomal RNA", at positions 592 to 976 of the family's 1831-position model. The record is from RNAcentral.